UGAGUUCCCUGUGAGGCCCUGAUGUUGUUUACGAUCACGUGUUGGCCAGGGAUCCUGGCCUCUGGAAACUUCCAUUGGCAACAUUAGCACAGUAGGAGGGUUUGGAGAUCAGUCCACGAAUUUACCACCCAGCGAAAUUAACUGGUUUCUAGUCACACCACUAAUGACAGUUUAGACACAGUCAAAACGGUGAUAAAUGGACCUAGUUGGCCCAAGCUGAUGGAUUCAUAAAUAAAUAUUUAAACCACAGCCUUUCUCUGACAGCAGAGGCAUCAGAGAGCAGAGACGCUAUAAGCAAAGAGUUAAGGAGUCAAGGGCCAUAGAAAACUCUUCCUGACACUUGGUUCAGGCUCAGAGGGCAACUGAGAUGUCCAUCUGGUUAACCAAAGAGGGCUUCCAGGAGGAGGUUCUGGGACUUCAAAGAGCCUCCAACUAGGCUCAGUUGUUCUUCCGUUUUCAUCAUCAUCUCAACAGUCAACUCUCUUAAAGUAUAACACGGUACAAGAUGGGCUCUCAGUCUGCAGGUGAGUGAGUGGAGUCGUUUCCCCAGAUGUUUCACGAUCCCAGGCCUGGUCCCUUUAAGGCAUCGAAACUCAGAACAUUCUAUCAGCUGCCUCGGCCUCCCCGUGGCGCGCUUACGUCACCCUUCGGGGAAGCGGCUGACGUCAGCGCGUUCUUGGCGAGUGGGGCGGGGCCGGUGACUCACCCGGACCGCGCCCCUUGCUCCCCGCCCCCGCCGGGCCGCGCGCACGUGAGCGCGCGCUGCGCGGGUUGCUAAUUUUAGCUCCGGCGGCUUCCCUGGGGUCCCGUGAGGUGAAGGGGAGUGGAGGGGACGAGGCGGGCAAGGAGCGUGGCUCUCCUCGUUCCUUCCUGCCCCGCCGUGGGUUUUCCUCGAGGACCGGGCCCGGCCCGAGGGGUGGGGGCCCGCGGGCGACUCGAGGUGCUGGAACGCGGGCGCUUACCGAGGCGAGAACCUAGGGGGUCUCCCCGCGUGGAAACCCCGCCCCUCCCUCGGCCUUGGACACAGUCGGCGCUCAAUAAAUGAAUCGAAGUUUCUUCCUGGACGGCGACCCUGGGCUUUCGGGAGAAAGCCAGAGGGGCAGGGUUCUGGAAGGUUCCCUGGCGGCUGGGGUGCGGUGCGGGCUGAAAUCCGAGCAGGAGCUGGGCGCGGCCCUCGGGGACCGACUAUGGGGGACGGCGCCGCGGGAGUGGGGCAAGUGCGGGCCUGGACCCUUGGGGCCACCGCGUCAGCAGUCGGCGGGGCCGUGGGAGGGACGGUGCCCGCCCGCUGUGAAGGGCGGUGGCCCUUCUAGGGUCAGGCCAAGCGCAGAGGCCUGAAGGUCACCGGGUGAGGAGCCAGCGCGGGUGCCUCAGAAGCCAAGCGCCCCGUCCCGAGCCCUGCGCGAACCAGUAUGACCUUCCAGGAACCAGAUGAGAGCUGCGUUUUCAAGAAGCAGUGCCAGACACCUUGGGAAAUCGACACUCUCCUGUCCUUGGGUGGGGGUGGGGGUCCUGGAAAGAAGCUCCGUCAGCGUAAAGUGAACUCUUAGCUUUGACUUUGCAGAGGGAUCCGUUGUGUCACAGUGACCCGCAUUCCUGUCAUUGGUGUGGUGUGUUUCACAGCCAUUGCCUCCCUAGGUAGAUUGUAAAACGGCGUUCGUAGAGCCUUUGACCUCAUAAUAUUAUGUUGGAAAUUACACGAUAGUAAACAUAAUGAUAAAUGGGGAAUGUUAAAUGGUAGUAUGGGAACAUUUUCUAAUGGUUGCAUCCUUAAAAUUUUCUGUUUCAAGUUUUUAAAGGCUAUAGCCUUAAAAAAAGCUGACUGUAGGAAAAUGGUGGAAAGAGUCGUGGAAUAAAGGUAGCUUUGGGGAUUAUGACGUGAAUAAAUGACAGAAAUUA
RNAcentral lists this long non-coding RNA (1899 nucleotides) under Homo sapiens (human). RNAcentral describes it as "non-protein coding lnc-BATF3-6:2". Lineage: Eukaryota; Metazoa; Chordata; Mammalia; Primates; Hominidae. The record is from RNAcentral.